GUCCUCUAGAUGUUCUUCACACCGACCUGCUGUAACCCCAGCCAGCGAUGUGGUCUACAGCUCAGUCGCCCUGAAGCACAGAGAGUAGGGGGCAGCAACACAGAGAGGCUCCUCUACAUGUGGGGAGCUGCUGCUCAGGGUGAGAGCUGUGAGGGACACACAGAUACUGCAGUGAUGGGGAGGGAUAAUCACCAGAGUGGAGCAUCUUACAGUGAUGUCAGCUGUAUUUAAAUGACAUGCAGCACUGUCACAUUACAGUGUGACAGUAAGAAUCAGCUGGUAUGAAACACACAUUCAUGGCUGUUGUUCAUUUGAACCAUGAUCAAAGUGCUACAGUAUUUGUCUCACUUAUGUCACUUUGGAUAAAAGCAUCUGAUAAAUAUGAUAAAUGUAAAUGUGAGGUAUUAUCUUGAUGGUCUGAACUGUCACUUUCUCAUUUAUAUUAAUGGAAAAAAAUAUAUAUUAGCAAUUCUAGUUGAUUUGUAUUUAUGAUAUAUACUGUAAGUGUUUGUUAGUAUGAUAUACAGUAUUUUGAGAGUA
Paramormyrops kingsleyae is the source of this 540-nucleotide non-coding RNA. Lineage: Eukaryota; Metazoa; Chordata; Actinopteri; Osteoglossiformes; Mormyridae. The record is from RefSeq and is a predicted model, not a curated record.